RNAcentral lists this unclassified non-coding RNA (1147 nucleotides) under Hevea brasiliensis (rubber tree). Lineage: Eukaryota; Viridiplantae; Streptophyta; Magnoliopsida; Malpighiales; Euphorbiaceae. The record is from RNAcentral.
GUCUCGUACCCAGGACAAUGAAGGGUUUGUCUUACUUUCUUGAUUGUUGAUUUUAUUUGGAAGCAUUUUUAGCUGGAUGAUUAUUUUUUUUAUUUAUGGUAUAUCAUGUGGUACUGUGCUUUAAAAUACUUGUUGUGCAUGCAUUAACUGUUACAAUCAAUGCUAAAUUUUUCAUUAUCAGGUUCCUUGAUUAUGCAUGUUCUACCAUGCUAGAAAGUGAAGAUAAGAUUACUUUGAUUGAUCCAACCAUUUAAUAUUGAUGGAAUCUUCUGGAAAAAAGUUAUUUGCCCUUUGGGACUGCCUGGCAUUAUAGUGGUUAUUGUGUGGUGUGCAUUUCAGUCUUAAGAGCAUCCAUUAAUGAGAAAAAUAAGAGCAUGGCAUUCCAAAAGUUUAACAAUUUGUUGAUUUUUUAUUCUUCUAUUUGUUGAUUCCCCCCUCUUCUUUUUUUCCUAAAUGCAUCCAUAUGUCUUGGCUUCCUUGGACUGAUGAAGUAGUGGUAGCAAAAUCAUAAAUGCUUCAAAAGCUGUUAAGAGUGCUACAUUGGAGCCUUAGAAGAUCCAAUGAGAAGCAAUGAUGGAAGAUUGAAGUUAAAAAGAAUUCUAAAAGUCAUGUAAUGGGUGAUAAAUGGCUCUUAAAACGAGAAGAAAAUAUAAGAGGUGGUGAGUUGUGACGAAUUGCUGUUCCAAUUGCCAAUGGAGCCAUCGGCCUUUAGGCUCAAUGUGUAGGGUUGGGAAAUGCAGUAUGGAUUCACAAGUGCUCAACUAUGCUGGGCAACUCAACUAACAUACAAAAAUUUCUAUACUUUUACUUUGAUUCAUGUACUUAUUUUUAUGGAACACUGUGUUUGAAACAUGAUUUCAAAUAACGGCUGUUACGUAACGUAAUAGCCAUUAUUUAUAGGUUUUGGAAGGGCUUGUUAUGCGAUACACUUUUAUUUAUAGGCAAAUUUGGAGUUGCAGGUAAAACGGCCAUUACGUAACGGUAAUAGCUGUUUUUGCAAUCAUGCAACGGUAACGGUCUGUUGCAAUCACAUGAAUAUAGUGUUAUUUUGCUCCUCUUUUCUUUGUUUGCGAAUUCUCUCUUCCACAGCUGCUAUAUCUCUUGUAUUCUCUCAAAAUUUCAACCAAAUUUCUCCUUUCUUCUACAA